CAUGAAUAGAUCACUGUGUGUAUAUGUACAUAUACAUAUGUAUACAUAUAUGUACACACACACACACACACACACACACACACACACACACACACAC
This 97-nucleotide microRNA precursor is filed under the name Echinops telfairi (small Madagascar hedgehog). RNAcentral describes it as "miRNA (ENSETEG00000023650.1)". The record is from RNAcentral. Lineage: Eukaryota; Metazoa; Chordata; Mammalia; Afrosoricida; Tenrecidae.